Molecule: ribosomal RNA, 429 nt
Filed under: uncultured beta proteobacterium
Lineage: Bacteria; Pseudomonadati; Pseudomonadota; Betaproteobacteria
Description: bacterial SSU rRNA
Rfam family: Bacterial small subunit ribosomal RNA
Source: RNAcentral
UGGGGAAUUUUGGACAAUGGGCGCAAGCCUGAUCCAGCCAUGCCGCGUGAGUGAAGAAGGCCUUCGGGUUGUAAAGCUCUUUCGGCGGGGACGAAAUGGUUCGUGCUAAUACCACGGACUGAUGACGGUACCCGCAGAAGAAGCACCGGCUAACUACGUGCCAGCAGCCGCGGUAAUACGUAGGGUGCAGGCGUUAAUCGGAAUUACUGGGCGUAAAGCGUGCGCAGGCGGUUUGUUAAGACAGAUGUGAAAUCCCCGGGCUUAACCUGGGAACUGCGUUUGUAACUGGCAGACUGGAGUGUGGCAGAGGGGGGUGGAAUUCCAAGUGUAGCAGUGAAAUGCGUAGAUAUUUGGAGGAACACCGAUGGCGAAGGCAGCCCCCUGGGCUAACACUGACGCUCAUGCACGAAAGCGUGGGGAGCAAACAGG